Molecule: ribosomal RNA, 393 nt
Filed under: uncultured bacterium
Lineage: Bacteria
Description: partial 16S ribosomal RNA
Rfam family: Bacterial small subunit ribosomal RNA
Source: RNAcentral
AUACGGAGGAUGCGAGCGUUAUCCGGAUUUAUUGGGUUUAAAGGGAGCGUAGGUGGGAUAUUAAGUCAGCUGUGAAAGUUUGGGGCUCAACCUUAAAAUUGCAGUUGAUACUGGUUUCCUUGAGUACGGUACAGGUGGGCGGAAUUCGUGGUGUAGCGGUGAAAUGCAUAGAUAUGACGAAGAACACCGAUUGCGUAGGCAGCUGACCAGACCGCAAAUGACGCUCAUGCACGAAAGUGCGGGGAUCGAACAGGAUUAGAUACCCUGGUAGUCCGCACAGUAAACGAUGAAUACUUGUUUUCGGCGAUAUAAUGUCGGAGGCAAAGCGAAAGCGAUAAGUAUUCCACCUGGGGAGUACGCCGGCAACGGUGAAACUCAAAGGAAUUGGCGGGG